Molecule: ribosomal RNA, 309 nt
Filed under: uncultured bacterium
Lineage: Bacteria
Description: bacterial SSU rRNA
Rfam family: Bacterial small subunit ribosomal RNA
Source: RNAcentral
GAUGAACGCUAGCGGCAGGCCUAAUACAUGCAAGACGAACGGUAAGUUGAGUAGCAAUACUUAGCCAAGAGUGUCGUACGGGUGCGUAACACGUAUGCAACCUACCCUAUACAGGAGGAUAGCCUAGGGAAACCUGGAUUAACCCUUCAUAGUAUUAUUGGAUGGCAUCAUUUGAUAAUUAAAACUGAGGUGGUAUAGGAUGGGCAUGCGUCUGAUUAGUUAGUUGGCGGGGUAAUGGCCCACCAAGACGAUGAUCAGUAGGGGUUCUGAGAGGAAGAUCCCCCACACUGGCACUGAGAUACGGGCCAG